RNAcentral lists this ribosomal RNA (301 nucleotides) under uncultured bacterium. Its description in RNAcentral is "partial 16S ribosomal RNA". It matches the Rfam family "Bacterial small subunit ribosomal RNA", at positions 509 to 807 of the family's 1533-position model. The record is from RNAcentral.
CAGCAGCCGCGGGAAUACAGAGGUGCCAAGCGUUAGGCGGAAUCACUGGGCUUAAAGCGUGUGUAGGCGGAUGCCUAAGUACCUUGUGAAAUCCCACGGCUUAACCGUGGAACUGCUCGGUAUACUGGGUGUCUUGAGCUGUCUAGGGGCUACCGGAACAAAUGGUGGAGCGGUGAAAUGCGUAGAGAUGUGGAGGAACACCAGUGGCGAAGGCGACUCUCUGGUCUGUAACUGACGCUGAGGAGCGAAAGCGUGGGGAGCGAACAGGAUUAGAUACCCCCGUAGUCCCUGUCUCUUAUAC